CCCUUAGAUGUCCGGGGCCGCACGCGCGCUACACUGAAGGAAUCAGCGUGGCUUUCUCCCUGACCCGAAAGGGUUGGGAAACCCGUUGAAUCUCCUUCGUGAUAGGGAUUGGGGCUUGAAAUUGUUCCCCAUGAACGAGGAAUUCCCAGUAAGCGCGAGUCAUAAGCUCGCGUUGAUUACGUCCCUGCCCUUUGUACACACCGCCCGUCGCUCCUACCGAUUGGGUGUGCCGGUGAAAUGUUCGGAUCGGCCGUUUGUCGCGGUUUCCGCGUCAUGUGGCUGAGAAGUUCAUUAAACCCUCCCACCUAGAGGAAGGAGAAGUCGUAACA
This 329-nucleotide ribosomal RNA is filed under the name uncultured eukaryote. Its description in RNAcentral is "partial 18S ribosomal RNA". It matches the Rfam family "Eukaryotic small subunit ribosomal RNA", at positions 1470 to 1796 of the family's 1831-position model. The record is from RNAcentral.